Long non-coding RNA from Eriocheir sinensis (Chinese mitten crab), 675 nucleotides. RefSeq lists it as uncharacterized. The record is from RefSeq and is a predicted model, not a curated record. The transcript has 2 exons. NCBI's taxonomy places the organism in Eukaryota, Metazoa, Arthropoda, Malacostraca, Decapoda, Varunidae.
CUGCCAGUUCGCCCCACACAGGAUGGAAGGAAGAAGCCAAUUAAGCUGUUUUUCGGUCUGAGCCUGAGACGAGAACGGACGAGUUGUUAGUGCCGCUGGGAAGCCUAGCACUUUGGCCCACACAGGAUGGAAGGAAGAAGCCAAUUAAGCUGUUUUUCGGUCUGAGCCUGAGACGAGAACGGACGAGAUGUUAGUGCCGUUGGGAAGCCUAGUAUUUUGGCCCACACAGGAUGGAAGGAAGAAACCAAUUGAGCUGUUUUUCGGUCUGGGUCUGAGAUGAGAACGGACACAUUGUUAGUGCUGUCGGGAGGCCUAGCAAGUUGGCCCACACAGGAUGGAAGGAAGAAGCCAAUUGAGCUGUUUUUCGGUCAGGGCCUGAGAUGAAAACGGACGAGAUGUUAGUGCUGCUGGGAAGCCUAGUAUGUUGGUCCGCACAGGAAGGAAAGAAAAAGCAAAUACAGUGAUCCGCCCUCCAUCGCGGGGUUACAUUCCAGACCCACCCGCGAUAAGUGAAAAUCCGCUAAAUAGAAAUCCUCUAUUCAAAUCCACCCUCGGCAUGUUUUUAUAACUCUUACGGUAGUUUUCAAAGCAUUGUGAGGUCUUUAAACACACUUUUAAAACAAUAUAAACACACCUUACACUGUAGGGGUAGAAACAAAGAAGGGAAGGAAGGAG